CUACGGGUGGCUGCAGUAAGGAAUAUUGCGCAAUGGAGGCAACUCUGACGCAGCCAUGCCGCGUGCAGGAAGAAGGCCUUAUGGGUCGUAAACUGCUUUUAUUUAGGAAUAAACCCCCGAACGUGUUCGGGGCUGAAGGUACUAAACGAAUAAGCACCGGCUAACUCCGUGCCAGCAGCCGCGGUAAUACGGAGGGUGCAAGCGUUAUCCGGAUUUAUUGGGUUUAAAGGGUGCGCAGGCGGGCUAUUAAGUCAGUGGUGAAAUCCCGGGGCUCAACUCCGGAACUGCCAUUGAUACUGAUAGUCUUGAGUUUGGUUGAAGUGGGCGGAAUGUAGCAUGUAGCGGUGAUAUGCAUAGAUAUGCUACAGAACACCAAUCGCGAAGGCAGCUCACUAAGCCAAAACUGACGCUCAUGCACGAAAGCGUGGGGAUCAAACAGGAUUAGAUACCCCUGUAGUC
RNAcentral lists this ribosomal RNA (459 nucleotides) under uncultured bacterium. RNAcentral describes it as "partial 16S ribosomal RNA". It matches the Rfam family "Bacterial small subunit ribosomal RNA", at positions 339 to 795 of the family's 1533-position model. The record is from RNAcentral.